AUUGCUUCUCGACCUUUUGGCUAAGAUAAAGUGUAGUAUCUGUUCUUAUCAGUAGUUUAGUCUCUGCCAUUGAUGUAGGAUGGAUGCUUCAUGGAGGAGCAGGUGUUCCCGUGGCUGGUGCCACGAAACCAGCUCAACGGCUGCCCUGAUGUGACCUGUUUUCCGCCGGGUCUCGCCAUGAGGUU
This is a small nuclear RNA of Hyla sarda, 185 nucleotides long. RefSeq annotates it as U2 spliceosomal RNA. The transcript has a single exon. The record is from RefSeq and is a predicted model, not a curated record. NCBI's taxonomy places the organism in Eukaryota, Metazoa, Chordata, Amphibia, Anura, Hylidae.